This 281-nucleotide long non-coding RNA is filed under the name Solanum lycopersicum (tomato). RNAcentral describes it as "long non-coding RNA (SLYC_LNC000594)". Lineage: Eukaryota; Viridiplantae; Streptophyta; Magnoliopsida; Solanales; Solanaceae. The record is from RNAcentral.
UCAUGGCUUCAAUGCAGUGCUACAAAGAAGAAGGCAAAGAGUUCGAUUACUAUAGUUACGGAAAUCAAAAACCUUCUUAUUCGAGCUCUGGAUAUGAACAAUCUUACUAUGAGAAAGAAAAGUGUUACGAAACCAAACCUGGAAUGAUGGGCUACGGCUCUAGCCAUGGCCAUCAACAUGGUAGCAACCCAUGUGGGCCGAUGAUGGGCCAUAACUCGGGCUAUGGUACGGGCCAUAACGGUACUUCUCAUGGGAUGGGCUAUGGAAUGGGCUACGGUACG